This 476-nucleotide ribosomal RNA is filed under the name uncultured bacterium. Its description in RNAcentral is "bacterial SSU rRNA". It matches the Rfam family "Bacterial small subunit ribosomal RNA", at positions 791 to 1267 of the family's 1533-position model. The record is from RNAcentral.
UAGUCCACGCCGUAAACGAUGUCAACUAGCCGUUUGGGACACUAAGUCCUUGGUGGCGCAGCUAACGCGAUAAGUUGACCGCCUGGGGAGUACGCCGGCAACGGUAAAACUCAAAGGAAUUGACGGGGACCCGCACAAGCGGUGGAGCAUGUGGUUUAAUUCGAUGCAACGCGAAAAACCUUACCUACCCUUGACAUCCUCAGAACUUGUUAGAGAUAACUUGGUGCCUUCGGGAACUGAGUGACAGGUGCUGCAUGGCUGUCGUCAGCUCGUGUCGUGAGAUGUUGGGUUAAGUCCCGCAACGAGCGCAACCCUUGUCCUUAGUUGCCAGCAUUCAGUUGGGCACUCUAAGGAGACUGCCGGUGACAAACCGGAGGAAGGUGGGGAUGACGUCAAAUCAUCAUGCCCCUUAUGACCUGGGGCUACACACGUGCUACAAUGGAUAGAACAAAGGGCAGCGAAGCCGCGAGGUGAAG